UGGGUUGUAGCUCAGUGGUAGAGCUCUCGCCUAGCUCAUGAGGGGUGCUGGGUUCGAUCUUCAGCAACACAU
RNAcentral lists this transfer RNA (72 nucleotides) under Ictidomys tridecemlineatus (thirteen-lined ground squirrel). RNAcentral describes it as "Spermophilus tridecemlineatus (thirteen-lined ground squirrel) tRNA". It matches the Rfam family "tRNA". Rfam says of the family: Transfer RNA (tRNA) molecules are approximately 80 nucleotides in length. Their secondary structure includes four short double-helical elements and three loops (D, anti-codon, and T loops). The record is from Rfam by way of RNAcentral. Lineage: Eukaryota; Metazoa; Chordata; Mammalia; Rodentia; Sciuridae.